CAGAGUUAUCCAACUCACAACCCAUGUGAACAUUAUCUCUUUGUUGCCUCGGCGGUCAGGCUACCCGGACCUCGCGCCCCGGCCCGCCGGCCACCUAAACUCUUGUUAUCUUAGUUGAUUACUCUGAGUAAUCUUUGAAUAAAUCA
Molecule: unclassified non-coding RNA, 146 nt
Filed under: soil metagenome
Description: partial internal transcribed spacer 1
Source: RNAcentral